GGUAGCACAGAGAGCUUGCUCUCGGGUGACGAGCGGCGGACGGGUGAGUAAUGUCUGGGAAACUGCCUGAUGGAGGGGGAUAACUACUGGAAACGGUAGCUAAUACCGCAUAACGUCGCAAGACCAAAGUGGGGGACCUUCGGGCCUCAUGCCAUCAGAUGUGCCCAGAUGGGAUUAGCUAGUAGGUGGGGUAACGGCUCACCUAGGCGACGAUCCCUAGCUGGUCUGAGAGGAUGACCAGCCACACUGGAACUGAGACACGGUCCAGACUCCUACGGGAGGCAGCAGUGGGGAAUAUUGCACAAUGGGCGCAAGCCUGAUGCAGCCAUGCCGCGUGUGUGAAGAAGGCCUUCGGGUUGUAAAGCACUUUCAGCGGGGAGGAAGGCGUUGAGGUUAAUAACCUUGUCGAUUGACGUUACCCGCAGAAGAAGCACCGGCUAACUCCGUGCCAGCAGCCGCGGUAAUACGGAGGGUGCAAGCGUUAAUCGGAAUUACUGGGCGUAAAGCGCACGCAGGCGGUCUGUCAAGUCGGAUGUGAAAUCCCCGGGCUCAACCUGGGAACUGCAUUCGAAACUGGCAGGCUAGAGUCUUGUAGAGGGGGGUAGAAUUCCAGGUGUAGCGGUGAAAUGCGUAGAGAUCUGGAGGAAUACCGGUGGCGAAGGCGGCCCCCUGGACAAAGACUGACGCUCAGGUGCGAAAGCGUGGGGAGCAAACAGGAUUAGAUACCCUGGUAGUCCACGCCGUAAACGAUGUCGAUUUGGAGGUUGUGCCCUUGAGGCGUGGCUUCCGGAGCUAACGCGUUAAAUCGACCGCCUGGGGAGUACGGCCGCAAGGUUAAAACUCAAAUGAAUUGACGGGGGCCCGCACAAGCGGUGGAGCAUGUGGUUUAAUUCGAUGCAACGCGAAGAACCUUACCUGGUCUUGACAUCCACAGAACUUUCCAGAGAUGGAUUGGUGCCUUCGGGAACUGUGAGACAGGUGCUGCAUGGCUGUCGUCAGCUCGUGUUGUGAAAUGUUGGGUUAAGUCCCGCAACGAGCGCAACCCUUAUCCUUUGUUGCCAGCGGUUCGGCCGGGAACUCAAAGGAGACUGCCAGUGAUAAACUGGAGGAAGGUGGGGAUGACGUCAAGUCAUCAUGGCCCUUACGACCAGGGCUACACACGUGCUACAAUGGCAUAUACAAAGAGAAGCGACCUCGCGAGAGCAAGCGGACCUCAUAAAGUAUGUCGUAGUCCGGAUUGGAGUCUGCAACUCGACUCCAUGAAGUCGGAAUCGCUAGUAAUCGUAGAUCAGAAUGCUACGGUGAAUACGUUCCCGGGCCUUGUACACACCGCCCGUCACACCAUGGGAGUGGGUUGCAAAAGAAGUAGGUAGCUUAACCUUCGGGAGGG
RNAcentral lists this ribosomal RNA (1390 nucleotides) under Klebsiella variicola. RNAcentral's name for it is "bacterial SSU rRNA". It matches the Rfam family "Bacterial small subunit ribosomal RNA". The record is from RNAcentral. Lineage: Bacteria; Pseudomonadati; Pseudomonadota; Gammaproteobacteria; Enterobacterales; Enterobacteriaceae.